GAUUGAAACGACUGCUAAGACUGGAUAGGAAACAAAAAGGCAUCUUUUUGUUUUUAAAAGACCUUCUUACGAAGGUAUGCUUAAAGAGGGGCUUGCGCCACAUUAGUUAGUUGGUAGGGUAAAAGCCUACCAAGACGAUGAUGUGUAGCUGGACUGAGAGGUUGAACAGCCACAUUGGGACUGAGACACGGCCCAAACUCCUACGGGAGGCAGCAGUAGGGAAUUUUCGGCAAUGGAGGAAACUCUGACCGAGCAACGCCGCGUGAACGAUGAAGUAUUUCGGUAUGUAAAGUUCUUUUAUUGAAGAAGAAAAAGUAGUGGAAAAACUAUAUUGACGUUAUUCAAUGAAUAAGCCCCGGCUAACUAUGUGCCAGCAGCCGCGGUAAGACAUAGGGGGCGAGCGUUAUCCGGAAUUAUUGGGCGUAAAGGGUGCGUAGGCUGUUAGAUAAGUCUAUAAUUUAAUUUCAGUGCUUGACGCUGUCUUGUUAUAGAAACUGUCUUGACUAGAGUGAGAUAGAGGCAAGCGGAAUUCCAUGUGUAGCGGUAAAAUGUGUAAAUAUAUGGAGGAACACCAGAAGCGUAGGCGGCUUGCUGGGUCUUUACUGACGCUGAGGCACGAAAGCGUGGGUAGCAAACAGGAUUAGAUACCCUGGUAGUCCACGCCGUAAACGAUGAGUACUAAGUGUCGGGGUAAAACUCGGUACUGAAGUUAACACAUUAAGUACUCCGCCUGAGUAGUACGUACGCAAGUAUGAAACUUAAAGGAAUUGACGGGACUCCGCACAAGCGGUGGAUCAUGUUGUUUAAUUCGAAGAUACACGAAAAAUCUUACCAGGUCUUGACAUACUCUGCAAAGCUAUAGAAAUAUAGUGGAGGUUAUCAGGGAUACAGGUGGUGCAUGGUUGUCGUCAGUUCGUGUCGUGAGAUGUUAGGUUAAGUCCUAAAACGAGCGCAACCCUUGUCGUUAAUUGCCAGCACGUAAUGGUGGGGACUUUAGCGAGACUGCCAAUUAAACAUUGGAGGAAGGUGAGGAUUACGUCAAAUCAUCAUGCCCCUUAUGAUCUGGGCUACAAACGUGAUACAAUGGCUGUGACAAAGAGUAGCUGAAACGCGAGUUUUUAGCCAAUCUCAAAAAAGCAGUCUCAGUUCGGAUUGAAGUCUGUAACUCGACUUCAUGAAGUUGGAAUCGCUAGUAAUCGCGAAUCAGCAUGUCGCGGUGAAUACGUUCUCGGGGUUUGUACACACCGCCCGUCAAAUC
Molecule: ribosomal RNA, 1258 nt
Filed under: Candidatus Phytoplasma trifolii
Lineage: Bacteria; Bacillati; Mycoplasmatota; Mollicutes; Acholeplasmatales; Acholeplasmataceae
Description: bacterial SSU rRNA
Rfam family: Bacterial small subunit ribosomal RNA
Source: RNAcentral